AUACGGAGGAUCCGAGCGUUAUCCGGAUUUAUUGGGUUUAAAGGGAGCGUAGGUGGACAGUUAAGUCAGUUGUGAAAGUUUGCGGCUCAACCGUAAAAUUGCAGUUGAUACUGGCUGUCUUGAGUACAGUAGAGGUGGGCGGAAUUCGUGGUGUAGCGGUGAAAUGCUUAGAUAUCACGAAGAACUCCGAUUGCGAAGGCAGCUCACUGGACUGCAACUGACACUGAUGCUCGAAAGUGUGGGUAUCAAACAGGAUUAGAUACCCUGGUAGUCCACACAGUAAACGAUGAAUACUCGCUGUUUGCGAUAUACAGUAAGCGGCCAAGCGAAAGCAUUAAGUAUUCCACCUGGGGAGUACGCCGGCAACGGUGAAACUCAAAGGAAUUGACGGGGGCCCGCACAAGCGGAGGAACAUGUGGUUUAAUUCGAUGAUACGCGAGGAACCUUACCCGGGCUUAAAUUGCAUUUGAAUAUAUUGGAAACAGUAUAGUCGUAAGACAAAUGUGAGGGUGCUGCAUGGUUGUCGUCAGCUCGUGCCGUGAGGUGUCGGCUUAAGUGCCAUAACGAGCGCAACCCUUAUCUUUAGUUACUAACAGGUCAUGCUGAGGACUCUAGAGAGACUGCCGUCGUAAGAUGUGAGGAAGGUGGGGAUGACGUCAAAUCAGCACGGCCCUUACGUCCGGGGCUACACACGUGUUACAAUGGGGGGUACAGAAGGCAGCUACCUGGCGACAGGAUGCUAAUCCCAAAAACCUCUCUCAGUUCGGAUCGAAGUCUGCAACCCGACUUCGUGAAGCUGGAUUCGCUAGUAAUCGCGCAUCAGCCAUGGCGCGGUGAAUACGUUCCCGGGCCUUGUACACACCGCCCGUCAAGCCAUGAAAGCCGGGGGUACCUGAAGUACGUAACCGCAAGGAGCGUCCUAGGGUAAAACUGGUAAUUGGGGCU
This 945-nucleotide ribosomal RNA is filed under the name uncultured bacterium. RNAcentral describes it as "bacterial SSU rRNA". It matches the Rfam family "Bacterial small subunit ribosomal RNA", at positions 523 to 1482 of the family's 1533-position model. The record is from RNAcentral.